This 386-nucleotide ribosomal RNA is filed under the name uncultured eukaryote. RNAcentral describes it as "SSU rRNA". It matches the Rfam family "Eukaryotic small subunit ribosomal RNA", at positions 587 to 972 of the family's 1831-position model. The record is from RNAcentral.
AGCUCCAAUAGCGUAUAUUAAAGUUGUUGCAGUUAAAAAGCUCGUAGUUGGAUUUCUGGAUCGAACGCUUCGUCCGCCGCUGUGCGGUGUGUACUGAGGUUUUGUUUCGAUUCAUCCUUGCAGGGAAGCGAGUUCGAGAUUAAUUUGUCGGCUCGGGGAACUGCAUCUUUUACUGUGAAAAAUUAGAGUGUUUAAAGCAGGCAUUUUGCUGUGAAUACAUUAGCAUGGAAUAAUAACAUAGGACUUUGGUUCUAUUUUGUUGGUUGGAGGCCAAGGUAAUGAUUAAUAGGGACAGUUGGGGGUAUUCAUAUUUAAUUGUCAGAGGUGAAAUUCUUGGAUUUAUGAAAGAUGAACUCAUGCGAAAGCAUUUACCAAGGAUGUUUUCA